Molecule: small RNA, 28 nt
Filed under: Bombyx mori (domestic silkworm)
Lineage: Eukaryota; Metazoa; Arthropoda; Insecta; Lepidoptera; Bombycidae
Description: ovarian small RNA-18308
Source: RNAcentral
UAAAGCAAACUUGACUGGCUUUACAGGC